GGCGGCGUAUCCGAAUUGGCAUAGGAAGCGGACUUAAAAUCCGUCGGGCGAAAGCCCAUUGUGGGUUCGACUCCCACCGCCGCUACCA
This 88-nucleotide transfer RNA is filed under the name Coriobacteriia bacterium. RNAcentral's name for it is "tRNA-Leu". It matches the Rfam family "tRNA". Rfam says of the family: Transfer RNA (tRNA) molecules are approximately 80 nucleotides in length. Their secondary structure includes four short double-helical elements and three loops (D, anti-codon, and T loops). Lineage: Bacteria; Bacillati; Actinomycetota; Coriobacteriia. The record is from RNAcentral.